CCUACGGGUGGCAGCAGUGGGGAAUAUUGGGCAAUGGGCGCAAGCCUGACCCAGCAACGCCGCGUGAAGGAAGAAGGCUUUCUGGUUUUUAACUUCUUUUAUCAGGGGCGAAACCCGUAACGGUCCCUUAUGACUAAGCCACGUCUACCUACAUGCCCGAAGCAGCGGUAAUCCGUCGGUGGCAAGCGUUAUCCGGAUUUACUGGGUGUAAAGGGCGUGUAGGCGGGAGGGCAAGUCAGAUGGGAAAACUAUGGGCUCAACCCAGAGCCUGCAUUUGAUACUGUACUGCUUGAGUGCAGGAGAGGCAAGCGGAAUGCAGGGUGUAGCGGUGAAAUGCGUAGAUAUAAGGAGGAACACCAGUGGCGAAGGCGGAUUGCUGGACAGUAACUGACGCUGAGGCGCGAAAGCGUGGGGAGCAAACAGGAUUAGAUACCCUAGUAGUC
Molecule: ribosomal RNA, 443 nt
Filed under: uncultured bacterium
Lineage: Bacteria
Description: partial 16S ribosomal RNA
Rfam family: Bacterial small subunit ribosomal RNA
Source: RNAcentral